This 477-nucleotide long non-coding RNA is filed under the name Brassica napus (rape). RNAcentral's name for it is "long non-coding RNA (BNAP_LNC011922)". The record is from RNAcentral. Lineage: Eukaryota; Viridiplantae; Streptophyta; Magnoliopsida; Brassicales; Brassicaceae.
GGUGGUUCCCUCCCGAACAGUGAGUAUCGACUCUGGUACACGGCAGUUCUCUUGACGGUGUGUAGUCGGCUUUGCUUCUGGUGGUUUGCGCCCCUUUGGCGGAACUAUCCGGCGUUCUUUCCGGCGAUGAAACGCUGACGGUGGUGCGAGCUCUAUCCCGAGCCGUUUCUGUUUGUCUUCGGUGCUGGUCGCCGGCUAAAGUAUUGGAUGAUCGGGUUGGUGUCGUUUGGUUUCCUCGGGAGUGAUUGAGGAGUGUGACGGGUUCAUUAUGGUGAUUGUGGGCCUGAGUUUGGAUGAGAUCUCGAUUCAGUUUUCGAUUGAAGCUCUCCGACGCUCAUGUGUAUCAAUUGAAGAAGCUGAUUCCAUUAAACUUCCAAUACAGUCGUUGGAGGUGGUUUCGGUGGCUUGGAUAGAUCCCGGUUGAAUCCGGUGAAGUGGUUACCUUUGGUGAAGAAUGGUUUGUCGGUAAAGACGGUG